Molecule: non-coding RNA, 2273 nt
Organism: Chiloscyllium plagiosum (whitespotted bambooshark)
Lineage: Eukaryota; Metazoa; Chordata; Chondrichthyes; Orectolobiformes; Hemiscylliidae
Source: RefSeq, a predicted model, not a curated record
GUGGGAGCAUCUUCAAUAAACUGUUUUUAUUCAUGUUUGCUGUUUGUUUAUUUAAUUCCUGAUUCCAAAGGAAGCACCAACAAUAAAGGUUCCGCUACUGGAUGACACUAAAAGUAAGGGGCAUAUUUUAAGAUCAAGAGAUCUUCCUUUAAAACAAAGGCGAGGAAGCUGUGUUUCCAUAAUUCUAGCUCCAUAAGUUAGCCCCACCUGCAAGAACUGCACUCACCAGGAGUAGACCUUGACAAAUCAAGAGGAAAUCUCAAACACAUCCUUCAUGUGUUUCUGUGAAACGAACACUAACAUGAACAAGCAGAAAGCUUACAGAGGUCUUUGACUCACAAAUGAAGUUGAUGAAUCAGAAAACUAUGGAAAAUUAAAAGACUUCAGGAACACUGCUGCAGAAAUACAAAGGAUUUCCUUCAGUCAAAAUUCCUUUUCUGUGAACAGGAAUGAAGACACAACUUCAAACCUCAGUGAACAAGGCCCAAAACUUAGAUGGGAGAUUGGAUGGAGAAGAGGGGGCUGCCUUUCCUUCCUGCUAUGGUGCAUCCUGCUCUUCUGCUAACACACACCACAGAAAAGCACAUAUAGCUAAUAUCAUGUGACUUCACUCCAGCUUGAAAGUAGAAGUUAAACAUUGGUUCCGAAAGGAAAUGGGUUAAUGAGCUUAUUAAAGAGUAGAUAUAUGGAAUAGCUGAUUUUCCAGCUUCUCUAAUACAUAACAUAACCAUUAGCCAAAGACUAUGCAUCUUUGGCCAGACUGUUUGGAUUCACUUGGGCUCGAGCAUGUUCUCCUGCUUUUAUUGAUUAUUAAGUCUAUUUCCAAACCCUUUACACUAGCAUAGGAAGGAAAAUUGGUUCUACCCUAAACAGAAACCAGUAAUGGUUGGUACUAAUAGUGGUACCUGGGUACCACUAUUAGAACAAUUAGUUCAUAAACAGCACAACUUCCUUUAGCUAUUGGUUAGGUUUUUUUUUUAAAGUUCCAGCAAUUAAGACCUAAAUGUUUUAUUACUCCUUUUAAUUCCACCAUUGCUGAUAUGGAGAAAGUGAUUAAUAUCUCUGAGAGAACCCAUUGUCUAUAGGCCAACGUUGAAAUCAAGGGGUCUAGUGAUAGAAUUACUUUCAGCUAAUUUAAUGCAAUUCAUUUCUAUGGUUGUAACUAACUCUAUCUUUCAGCUAAAAUUGGCUUUUUAAAAUGUUUACUUUGUGAAUGUGGUGGUAAAAUCAAGAAACAAGUAUUUGUAGAACACAUCCUCAUGAUAACAUUCAAGGCUGAGAUAAACAGAAGAUAAAUAAUUGAGACAAAGAUGGUGAGUGCAAUUAAGACUGGAAUUAGGCCACAGUUAAAUCAACUAUGAUGUUAUUAUGAGAUAGAUCAGGCUAGGUAGUAAACAUGGGCUACACUUGCUUCUAUUUUUAUGUGCAUAUUAUCGUAUUUGGUCCCACAGUUGGCUGUAAUGACGUUGCCUUAUGUUUUUGAAAUCAGUGACUAUGUCAGUUAUGUCUAGAAUCAAGUCCAUGAUAUUUGUGAAAAGAAUUGUGAUUAACUGUGACAUUCCCCUCUUAAUCAGCAGACUUUAGCUUGGUAUGUAUAAAUCUAUUGGUUAAGGCAGAGAGUGGGGGUUGUGCACAUCAACAAUUCCAUCACCAUGAGGUGAGUGGGUGAUCAAUGUGAAGAAAUUUGGAAACAGUUCAGACAACUUUUGAUUUCUGCAAUGAUCCAUAUAGAAGCUCUUAAUCUGGAAGGGCACAUUGUGAAUUUGACCCUCUUUCAAUUCAUGAGCCCACAAUUUUCCUUUAUUGUACCGGACAAACAAUCCUGAGCUCAAGGAUUAGCCAUGUGCCAGAAUUAUUCAUUUCAACAUGGGACUUUGCAUCAGAAGUGUCAAAGAUGGAAAUGUAUUGAAUAAUUAGACUGAAUACUUAAUUCAAAUAGUCUACAAGUAAAGAAAAUUCUUGAAAUUAUGAACCAAGGAAAUGGCAUCUUCAAUGUGAUGGAAUCAGAAUUUAAUCAAGAUAAUGAUUUAUGGAUUUGGGUAGCAUUAAUUGGUUUCUCUGAAGACACAGGGCAAAUCCAGAGGUGAUGUUAACUGAUUAUUAUAGAAGUCAUGCUUCAUCCUGAGCAAUAUAGUUCUUCAGAUCUCGUAGAUAAAUAAAACAGGCUGAAUUUAUUUCAGUAAUUGAUUUAUUACAAUUAAUUGUUGCCUAGACCUGAAGAUAACUGAAGUCCUUGUUAUUUUUUCCUUGUAAUUUCCAUAAUGUAAGAUUUU